Molecule: long non-coding RNA, 423 nt
Filed under: Mytilus galloprovincialis (Mediterranean mussel)
Lineage: Eukaryota; Metazoa; Mollusca; Bivalvia; Mytilida; Mytilidae
Source: RNAcentral
CAAAUAAUAACCAGAUGCUCCGCAGGGCGCAGCUUUAUACGACCGCAGAGGUUGAACCCUGAACGGUUGGGGCAAGUAUGGACACAACAUUCAAGCUGGAUUCAGCUCUAAAUUUGGAUUGUGAUUAAAUAGUUGACACAGCAUAGGUUUCUGACACAGAAUGAAUGUAGUCUAAUGAACUAAAAAAAUUGUUUUUGCCUUUGAGCAAUUCACUAUGCUGUUGAAUAUUAAUCCUCUCAAAAAAAUGUUUGAAGAAAUUUUCUUUUUAUUUAUGAAAUCUGAAAUGAAAAAAAUUGACCCCCCCCCCCAAUUUUUUUUUUCACAUCCCCUUUUCCCUUAUUUCAAAACUGAUCUCAAUUCAAAUUUCUAAUGAAGUUUGCAACAAUAACUACUCAUUUAAGUACAUAUUAAAAUGUAAAAAAA